This 552-nucleotide ribosomal RNA is filed under the name uncultured bacterium. RNAcentral's name for it is "bacterial SSU rRNA". It matches the Rfam family "Bacterial small subunit ribosomal RNA", at positions 777 to 1327 of the family's 1533-position model. The record is from RNAcentral.
AAUAGAUACCCGGGUAGUCCACGCCGUAAACGAUGAGUGCUAAGUGUUAGGGGGUUUCCGCCCCUUAGUGCUGCAGCUAACGCAUUAAGCACUCCGCCUGGGGAGUACGGUCGCAAGACUGAAACUCAAAGGAAUUGACGGGGGCCCGCACAAGCGGUGGAGCAUGUGGUUUAAUUCGAAGCAACGCGAAGAACCUUACCAGGUCUUGACAUCCCAUUGACCACUAUGGAGACAUAGUUUUCCCUUCGGGGACAACGGUGACAGGUGGUGCAUGGUUGUCGUCAGCUCGUGUCGUGAGAUGUUGGGUUAAGUCCCGCAACGAGCGCAACCCUUGUUCUUAGUUGCCAUCAUUUAGUUGGGCACUCUAAGGAGACUGCCGGUGACAAACCGAAGGAAGGUGGGGAUGACGUCAAAUCAUCAUGCCCCUUAUGGCCUGGGCUACACACGUGCUACAAUGGACGGUACAAACGGUUGCCAACCCGCGAGGGGGAGCUAAUCCGAUAAAACCGUUCUCAGUUCGGAUUGUAGGCUGCAACUCGCCUACAUGAAGCC